RNAcentral lists this ribosomal RNA (253 nucleotides) under uncultured bacterium. Its description in RNAcentral is "partial 16S ribosomal RNA". It matches the Rfam family "Bacterial small subunit ribosomal RNA", at positions 524 to 776 of the family's 1533-position model. The record is from RNAcentral.
UACGGCGGGGGCUAGCGUUGCUCGGAAUCACUGGGCGUAAAGCGCACGUAGGCGGAUUGCUAAGUCAGGGGUGAAAUCCUGGAGCUCAACUCCAGAACUGCCUUUGAUACUGGAGAGCUUGAGUCCGGGAGAGGUGAGUGGAACUCCGAGUGUAGAGGUGAAAUUCGUAGAUAUUCGGAAGAACACCAGUGGCGAAGGCGGCUCACUGGCCCGGUACUGACGCUGAUGUGCGAAAGCGUGGGGAGCAAACAGG